CUCAGCAGCACAUAGACUUAAAAAAAAAAAAAAUGGACUGACACAGAGAAGAUCAGCAUGGCCCCUGCACAAGGAUGGCACGCAAAUUCGUGAAGCGUUCCAUAUUAAU
This is a small nuclear RNA of Peromyscus californicus insignis, 109 nucleotides long. The record is from RefSeq and is a predicted model, not a curated record. NCBI's taxonomy places the organism in Eukaryota, Metazoa, Chordata, Mammalia, Rodentia, Cricetidae.